This 800-nucleotide ribosomal RNA is filed under the name Heterodera schachtii. RNAcentral's name for it is "partial large subunit ribosomal RNA". It matches the Rfam family "Eukaryotic large subunit ribosomal RNA", at positions 307 to 974 of the family's 3401-position model. The record is from RNAcentral. Lineage: Eukaryota; Metazoa; Nematoda; Chromadorea; Rhabditida; Heteroderidae.
CCUCUUACCAAGUUUCCCCGGGAGGAAAGUUGCAAAGCACUUUGAAGAGAGAGUUAAAGAGGACGUGAAACCGAUGAGGUGGAAACGGACAGAGCUGGCGUAUCUGGUCUGCAUUCACCCGUUUGUUGCUGUACGUUGAGCUGCUAGCCUCCAGACUGGGGUUGGCUGUCCUUCUGUUCAGUGGCGAAUGGGGCAUUUGCAGGCGGAGUGCGCUGAGAUGCUCGGAGUAGCUGCGUGAGCUCGGUCUUGAGGCCAGCCUUUCGGGGUCUGGUACCCGGAUCGGGGGAGUGCUGUUUACUCUGGGUGAAUUGUGCAAUGGUUUCGGGUCCGUGUUGGCUCGAGCUGGGGGUCGGUGGCGGUCGCGUGCGACACGUACCAGCAACCAGUUCGGUCCAGCUCGGGCUCUCAGUUGUGCGUUCUCGGUGUAAAAGCCGGUCAUCUGUUCGACCCGUCUUGAAACACGGACCAAGGAGUUUAGCGUAUGCGCAAGUCAUUGGGUGUUCAAAACCCAAAGGCGCAAUGAAAGUGAAGGCUUCUUACGGAGCUGAUGUGUGAUCCCUGGCACUGCGGUGUUGGGGCGCAACAUAGUCCCGUCUCGAUCGCAUGCGAUGGGGCGGAGACAGAGCGUAUGCGCUGAGACCCGAAAGAUGGUGAACUAUUCCUGAGCAGGAUGAAGCCAGAGGAAACUCUGGUGGAAGUCCGAAGCGAUUCUGACGUGCAAAUCGAUCGUCUGACUUGGGUAUAGGGGCGAAAGACUAAUCGAACCAUCUAGUAGCUGGUUUCCUUCCGAAAUUGGAAAC